CAGAGCCACGGUAAUACAGAGGGUGCGAGCGUUAAUCGGAUUUACUGGGCGUAAAGCGUGCGUAGGCGGCUUUUUAAGUCGGAUGUGAAAUCCCUGAGCUUAACUUAGGAAUUGCAUUCGAUACUGGGAAGCUAGAGUAUGGGAGAGGAUGGUAGAAUUCCAGGUGUAGCGGUGAAAUGCGUAGAGAUCUGGAGGAAUACCGAUGGCGAAGGCAGCCAUCUGGCCUAAUACUGACGCUGAGGUACGAAAGCAUGGGGAGCAAACAGGAUUAGAUACCCGCGUAGUCCCUGUCUCUUAUACC
Molecule: ribosomal RNA, 301 nt
Filed under: uncultured bacterium
Lineage: Bacteria
Description: partial 16S ribosomal RNA
Rfam family: Bacterial small subunit ribosomal RNA
Source: RNAcentral